UACGUAGGUGGCAAGCGUUGUCCGGAUUUACUGGGCGUAAAGAGCGCGCAGGCGGUUGAUCAAGUCGAAUGUGAAAGCCCCGGGCUCAACCUGGGAAUUGCAUUCGAGACUGAAUAGCUAGGGUACGGUAGAGGGAAGCGGAAUUUCCGGUGUAGCGGUGAAAUGCGUAGAUAUCGGAAGGAACAUCAGUGGCGAAAGCGGCUUCCUGGACCAGUACCGACGUUCAGGCACGAAAGCGUGGGGAGCAAACAGG
This 253-nucleotide ribosomal RNA is filed under the name uncultured bacterium. RNAcentral describes it as "partial 16S ribosomal RNA". It matches the Rfam family "Bacterial small subunit ribosomal RNA", at positions 524 to 776 of the family's 1533-position model. The record is from RNAcentral.